RNAcentral lists this non-coding RNA (63 nucleotides) under Echinops telfairi (small Madagascar hedgehog). RNAcentral's name for it is "Ete-Mir-27-P2_pre stem-loop". It matches the Rfam family "mir-27 microRNA precursor family", at positions 10 to 80 of the family's 80-position model. RNAcentral also lists the same sequence under 13 other names. Lineage: Eukaryota; Metazoa; Chordata; Mammalia; Afrosoricida; Tenrecidae. The record is from RNAcentral.
AGAGCUUAGCUGAUUGGUGAACAGUGAUUGGUUUCCGCUUUGUUCACAGUGGCUAAGUUCUGC